RNAcentral lists this long non-coding RNA (349 nucleotides) under Gossypium barbadense (sea-island cotton). Its description in RNAcentral is "long non-coding RNA (GBAR_LNC013474)". The record is from RNAcentral. Lineage: Eukaryota; Viridiplantae; Streptophyta; Magnoliopsida; Malvales; Malvaceae.
UGUUAUAUUCGAUCAACAUCCAUAUUUAAUUAACAUUAUUGACAUUAAAAAUUAUCACAUAAAAUAAAUAAAAAUUAAUAAUUAAAUAGAUGUGAGAUCAAGAAAAUGUGAGAUAAGAAAAUCUCACAAAUCCUACGUUGCACCCAGAAAUUGUCUCAAUUUAAUUUAAUCAUAACAUCAUCAGUUCAUGAAAUUUUGGAAUAGUGUUAGUUCCCAGGGCAGUGUUAGGGAUAGCCUAAGAGGACUCGUAAUAGUUUAGUGUAAAUACUAAAACAUUACAUGAAUGGGAGUUAUUUCGCACAACGUGAAUAUGUAAUAAAAAUCACUUGUAUAAUUUACUAUAUUUUAU